UGGGAUGACGUCAAAUCAUCAUGCCCCUUAUGACCUGGGCUACACACGUGCUACAAUGGUUGGUACAACGAGUUGCGAGUCGGUGACGGCGAGCUAAUCUCUUAAAGCCAAUCUCAGUUCGGAUUGUAGGCUGCAACUCGCCUACAUGAAGUCGGAAUCGCUAGUAAUCGCGGAUCAGCACGCCGCGGUCGAAUACGUUCCCGGGCCUU
RNAcentral lists this ribosomal RNA (209 nucleotides) under uncultured Streptococcus sp. Its description in RNAcentral is "partial 16S ribosomal RNA". It matches the Rfam family "Bacterial small subunit ribosomal RNA", at positions 1175 to 1382 of the family's 1533-position model. Lineage: Bacteria; Bacillati; Bacillota; Bacilli; Lactobacillales; Streptococcaceae. The record is from RNAcentral.